UACGGAGGGUGCUAGCGUUGUUCGGAAUUACUGGGCGUAAAGCGCGCGUAGGCGGACCUGCAAGUCGGGGGUGAAAGCCCGAGGCUCAACCUCGGAACUGCCUUCGAUACUGCGGGUCUCGAGUCCGGGAGAGGUGAGUGGAAUUCCUAGUGUAGAGGUGAAAUUCGUAGAUAUGAGGAAGAACACCAGUGGCGAAGGCGGCUCACUGGCCCGGUACUGACGCUGAGGCGCGAAAGCGUGGGGAGCAAACAGG
This 253-nucleotide ribosomal RNA is filed under the name uncultured bacterium. RNAcentral describes it as "partial 16S ribosomal RNA". It matches the Rfam family "Bacterial small subunit ribosomal RNA", at positions 524 to 776 of the family's 1533-position model. The record is from RNAcentral.